This 222-nucleotide ribosomal RNA is filed under the name Triticum aestivum (bread wheat). RNAcentral's name for it is "partial small subunit ribosomal RNA". The record is from RNAcentral. Lineage: Eukaryota; Viridiplantae; Streptophyta; Magnoliopsida; Poales; Poaceae.
AUGCCGGACUCCGGCGUCCAAAACCCCACCGUCCUGGCACCGUUCCCGAUGAUGUUGACGACCUCGUAUGCUGCCACCUGCAGCUGCCCGUUCACAAGCUUGAACCUGCCGGCCAUCCCGUCGAACGUGGUGUUACGCACCGCUCUGAGAAGCGCUGCUCCGGUGGCCGACACACCGAGCCGGUCCAGGUCUGUGAGUGCCCUGCUACGCUGCGGUGUCUGA